GUUACAAGUAAAUAAUGAUUUUUUUAUUCAUCUUUUUUUGUUUAAAAAAAAAGUUGUUAAUGUUGCUGUGCCCCCAGGGGUUCAUUGUACUUUGAACUAAAAAUAAUAUUCAGAUGAAAGCUGACUACUUGUCAAGAAACCUAGCAAGAUUUCUCAAGUAAUUUUUUUGGAAGGGCAACAAGGUUUUUGAAAGAUGUUAACAUUUUUUUAUUAACAUUUUUUCAUUGUAACAGAGUUCAUUGAACCAUUCUUGAGAGAUUUUCUUUAACCCUUAAAUAUUACACUUUAUGUUGGUACAACCUAAAAAUACUGAAGAGGGAGGAAUAAAGUCUACAACUUUGUACAAGCCUGAAGCAUCCUUCCAGAUCUGUAGCACUGAUGCUAAACUUGAUGGGUUCCUUCUCUUUAGCUUAAGCAUUAUGUUUAGCUUGAGAUGGUCUAGCCGUGAAAGUAGUUCAUCUUGUACUCUCUUACACUGGAUAGUGAUUAGCCAUUCUGAAAAUAGAACAUCUUUAUCUGGGAGUCCUGUGUUAAGUCUUUAAAAACAAAACCUAGGGGCAGGGAUUUACCUCAGUGGCGCCUUGCCUGCCUCGAAAGUGCAAGGUCCUGAGUUCGAUCCCUGGUACCAAAAAAAAAAACAACCUGGGUUUGUCAAUUCAUAAGAGAUGUUUUAAGACAAAACUGCCCAAAGGCUUAAGUUUUGUUACCUUUCACAGUUUAAUCUGUAUAAGAAAUGGCAUAGAUACAGUGGAAAUGGUUCUCCUUCAAAUCAUCUCUUUUAAAGCUGCUUUUCUGGUGAGUACUAUCCUGUACUUCUAUGUAUCACCAUUUUUACCUUUUAAAAUUAACUGAAAUCGGACUGAAGAGGUGAGCAAUCUGAAUUUCAUGAUGUCCUUGGAUAUUACUUGCAUUAGGAAUCUUAGAAUGAUUAUUUUACCACCACACAUUUCCCCUACUUCUGCUUUACUUUUUCCCAACCUUCACUUAAUAAAAUAUAUAUACAAACUCAUAAGGCUUAAGGUUUUCCUUUUAGUUGGUAGCCAAAUGAUUUUUCUCAUUGCUUUUAAUUCUUGCAUAAUUUAAAAUACCAGAACUUCUUUGUGUCCUUAUUAAAGCUGACAUUGCAGUGACUCUUGACUAAUUCAGUUGGGAAAGAGGAGGGUUCAUCAAAAUUGGUCGUGCAGACCAAUUGAUUAUAAGGUUCUCUUUAAGUCUUAGUUUUCAAGUGUGUUAUUUCAUAAAUUAUUCAAAUUCUUUGGUUAAAUAUAUUGGUUUCUGGGACUUGUGUAUACCCAUAAAAAUUAGCCUUUGAGUGUUUAUGCCCUGUUUUAUCCUUAACAUGUACAACACAAGGAUUUCUUUCCCUCUGGUUUUUAGCCACAUUCCAGAUGAUGUCAAUAGAGUUUAAAGCUGUUCUCACAUUGUUUUCUGCUUAAUCUUUGUGAAUCUGUAAACUCUCAUGCUUUUUCAUAUAAGCAGUCAUACUUUGCUAAAUAAAUAUGAAAUUAAUAAUCUUGAGUAUGUGAUACAGUAAUGUUCUUUUAGAUAAACACUCAAAGUAUGAACCCUCAAUUUGUGUCUUAAGAUUUAAUGGAAAGUAAGUUCUAAGGAACUGUGUCCUUUCCUAGCAGGAAAAACCAGACUGAAAAACUGCUUUUUUCAGGGUAGAAAUAAGUGGCUGUCAAAAGAAAAUAUCAAGAAGAUUACUUAAAUAUCUUCGUUUAAAACCCAGUAAUGACUUUCAGUUUACUUAAAUCUUCUGUUUUUCAGCUCUGGUUAAAACUGACACUAGGCAGCUGAUCAAAAUUUAAAAACUCAUUGUACUUUUUGUGGAAUAUUUUAGGAAUUAGUGCAUAAUUGUAAAAUGGCAUUAAGCUAUACUUGAUUUACAUAGAGGCUGUGGUUUUAAGGGAGAAAAAUUUGUUUAAAUUUGGAGACCUCAACCCUAAUGUACUAAUAAUUAAGAUAAUAGAGAUUAGGAGACCUCAACCCUAAUGUACUAAUAAUUAAGAUAAUAGAGAUUAAAGUGAAAAGUUUUUAUUUGGUGCAGCCAUGAAACAUGAUUAUUGGUCCUUUUUAAAAAUCAACCCAGUAUAACAUCUAUUUUAUGAAGUGAUACAAGAUCCCAGAGGGUUGUUAGAAAAGAGGGAGCCUGUCUCUUAAUUUAGUCUCAAGGCUUUACUCUCAGCCUUUAUUUUGUGAAGGAAUGCAGUAAAGAAUAAGUAACCAUAUUUGAACAAUAUGGUUGUAAGAAGUACCUUAACAGCACAUGGGGAGGAUAAAUGGCUAGUCUGAAAGUAUGAUUUAAAUGGUCUAGCUACCCAAAAAUCUUCCCUUAAAGCAUUUUUUAUGUAUCUGUAUUAGCUCAAUAAAGGUUGUAAUUACUAGCUUUUAAAUUUUAUCAGCAUUAAAGGUAUAAUACAUGGAUUAUGUGAGAGUUUUAAUUUUUCUUAUGCAAGUAAUGUUAGUACAUCCCUUCACUUGGUUAAAUAACUAGAAGCUUUUGGAAAACAAAACGAGAAAAUCACAUUUGCAGUAUAUAUGUAAGUUUAAUUUUUGUCCACCAAUAGAUUUUUUUUUUUUUUGGUACCAGGGAUCUAACUCAAGACCUUGUGCUUGUGAGGUAGGUGCAGUGCCUCUGAGCUAAAUCCCUUGCCCUGAGAGAUUUUCUUUUCUUUUUUCUUUUUUUUUUUGUACCAGGGAUCCAACUAAGGACCUUGUGCUUGGAAGGCAGGCGACAGCACCACUGAGCUAUAUCCCCAGCCCCCGAGAUAUUUUCUUUAUGCAGUCAUACACUAAUUAGAUUAGAACUCAUGAAAGGACAUUGAAAUUGUUUUUCAUUUUUACAGUGCCCUAGGCACUGUUUAUUAGGCUUUUAAGUAAGCCAAAACUAAUGAAUAGUGAUUUCAUUAUCCAGUGAUUUUUAGUUUGUUAGAGAAUUACAAGUUUUACUUGGGCAUUAUUAAAAGUCAGUUUCUUUUUUUACGAGGAAAGGGUGGACUAUCUCCGUCAUUCAUUAACCUUUGAG
Heterocephalus glaber (naked mole-rat) is the source of this 3028-nucleotide long non-coding RNA. NCBI's taxonomy places the organism in Eukaryota, Metazoa, Chordata, Mammalia, Rodentia, Bathyergidae. The record is from Ensembl.